RNAcentral lists this small RNA (116 nucleotides) under Marmota monax (woodchuck). The record is from RNAcentral. Lineage: Eukaryota; Metazoa; Chordata; Mammalia; Rodentia; Sciuridae.
GCUGGGCAUGGUGAUGUGUGCCUGUAGUUUCAGCUGCUGGGGAGGCUGAGGCAGGAGGCUCACUUUGAGCCCAGGAGUUCAAGACCAGUUUGUGCAACAUAGCAAAAUCCUGUCAA